ACCUUCGGGAGGCUUGCACAGGUGCUGCAUGGCUGUCGUCAGCUCGUGUCGUGAGAUGUUCGGUUAAGUCCGCUAACGAGCGCAACCCUCGCUGUGUGUUAUAUGUGUCACACGGGACUGCCGGUCUUAAGCCGGAGGAAGGUGGGGAUGAUGUCAAGUCAGCAUGGCCUUUAUAUCCUGGGCUACACACACGCUACCAUGGCCAACACAAUAGGUUGCUAAGCCGCGAGGUGGCGCCAAUCCAUAAAGUUGGUCUCAGUUCAGAUUGUAGGCUGCAACCCGCCUGCAUGAAGAUGGAGUUGCUAGUAACCGCAGGUCAGCUAUACUGCGGUGAAUACGUUCCCGGGGCUU
Molecule: ribosomal RNA, 351 nt
Filed under: uncultured Leptolinea sp.
Lineage: Bacteria; Bacillati; Chloroflexota; Anaerolineae; Anaerolineales; Anaerolineaceae
Description: bacterial SSU rRNA
Rfam family: Bacterial small subunit ribosomal RNA
Source: RNAcentral